GAUGAACGCUGGCGGCGUGCCUAAUACAUGCAAGUCGAGCGAACAGACGAGGAGCUUGCUCCUCUGACGUUAGCGGCGGACGGGUGAGUAACACGUGGAUAACCUACCUAUAAGACUGGGAUAACUUCGGGAAACCGGAGCUAAUACCGGAUAAUAUAUUGAACCGCAUGGUUCAAUAGUGAAAGACGGUUUUGCUGUCACUUAUAGAUGGAUCCGCGCCGCAUUAGCUAGUUGGUAAGGUAACGGCUUACCAAGGCGACGAUGCGUAGCCGACCUGAGAGGGUGGUCGGCCACACGGGAACGGAGACACGGUCCAGACUCCUACGGGAGGCAGCAGUAGGGAAUCGUCCGCAAUGGGCGAAAGCCUGACGGAGCAACGCCGCGUGAGUGAUGAAGGUCUUCGGAUCGUAAAACUCUGUUAUUAGGGAAGAACAAAUGUGUAAGUAACUAUGCACGUCUUGACGGUACCGAAUCAGAAAGCCACGGCUAACUACGUG
RNAcentral lists this ribosomal RNA (497 nucleotides) under uncultured bacterium. RNAcentral describes it as "partial 16S ribosomal RNA". It matches the Rfam family "Bacterial small subunit ribosomal RNA", at positions 28 to 507 of the family's 1533-position model. The record is from RNAcentral.